UCCGAAGGGGGCUAGCGUUGUUCGGAAUCACUGGGCGUAAAGGGCGCGUAGGCGGCUUUAUAAGUCGGGGGUGAAAGCCUGUGGCUCAACCACAGAAUUGCCUUCGAUACUGUAGAGCUUGAGACCGGAAGAGGUAAGUGGAACUGCGAGUGUAGAGGUGAAAUUCGUAGAUAUUCGCAAGAACACCAGUGGCGAAGGCGGCUUACUGGUCCGGUUCUGACGCUGAGGCGCGAAAGCGUGGGGAGCAAACAGG
RNAcentral lists this ribosomal RNA (253 nucleotides) under uncultured bacterium. RNAcentral's name for it is "partial 16S ribosomal RNA". It matches the Rfam family "Bacterial small subunit ribosomal RNA", at positions 524 to 776 of the family's 1533-position model. The record is from RNAcentral.